Molecule: long non-coding RNA, 558 nt
Organism: Eupeodes corollae
Lineage: Eukaryota; Metazoa; Arthropoda; Insecta; Diptera; Syrphidae
Exons: 2
Source: RefSeq, a predicted model, not a curated record
AAAUAGAGAAAUAAAAAAUAGAAAACAUUGUUUACAUUUGCUUUUUAUCAGCAGUGAAAAUAAAAAAUCCCCAAACACUGUGCUCUACAAAUUUUUGCAUCUUUUCGUUUAAAAAUGACAAAAAAUUCUUAUCAUCUCGUUUCUGCUUCCGAAAUAUUAAAAAGUAAAGAAGAUAACUCACCUAUAAAAAGAAUCAUUCAAGCUGUAUAAUCAUCACAACUCAAACGCAUCUGUAAGCAAGCACUUCAUCAGCUUAUCAUAGCUUCUAAACAAUUAAUAAUAUUAAAUUAAAUAAUACAAAAUGAAUUUCCAAGUAUUGAUUGUGCUGAUUUUCGCAUUCAUUGCCUUAUCAAUGAGUUCGGUUGAAGCUUUCCGUGACAGAGGCAGAUUUGGAGGAGGCAACGGUGGUGGAAGAAUUCCAAUUCCAACAACACCACCAUUCAAUCCUUACCCAAGGCAGAGACAUUUUUAAACUAAAUCAACAAUUUUUUAAAAAUUAACAUCUAAAUUAUAUCAAUUCGUAAAAUAAAUUAUUAUAUAAAAUUUAAAAAAAUAUAA